UCGAUCGUCUGCAGUAGAAAUUCAUCAGAUGUAGCCUAGUUGUUAGAAAUUCGAGACGUGUUCAGUGUGUUCCGUUUUAAACAUUCUUUUGGGUACUCGUUAAUACGCUGAAAUUUUUCAUUUUUUUGUACCAACCUGAAGGACACUUUUUCACGACACACACACGAUUGUUUGAAAGUUGAUUUUUCACUAGACUUCAUUUGAAUGUACAGUACAGUAUAUUUGCAGGUUAUAUCUUUCAGUAUUUAUUUGCUGUCAGGCAAUGUUUUCAUAUCUUUAGGUGCAGUUCCUAUCAUCAGACCUACAGUGUGCACAAAUAGGCAAUGGGAAAAAUCUGCUUAUUGUGCUGAUCUGCAUAAUGCCGACUUCAUGGUAACUAAUUCCUCGUGGCAUUUCCAUUCACGCAUGUGGGGCAGUUCGUGAGCAGACGAACCAUUGAAAGAGCCCUGCGCAGUCUAGUUGCAUCCAGCCAGAUACUAGUAGAACCCAAAACAUUUUCUUGACAAGUGCUGCCAUAUUCCGGUUGCAGGUUUUCAGUAAAUACCAAGGAAGUGCUUUCAACACUGCAGGCUGGUCCUACGAGCUACGAAAGUUUUACCUACAAGCGUUUCGCGUUUCGUGCUGCAACUAUUAGUUGAUAUUCAAGGAUGUUAUGCCUAAAAUUGGAAUUCAGCUAUCAGAGAUUAGCAACAUUCAAACGGAAACUCUAGAUGGCGUUGAUGUGCGUUUAUGAUGAAGAUUAUGAGUGACAAGUCAAAUGGGUGUUUGUUACGUUACCCUGUUAAGUGUUUCAAAGGAUUUUUCGUCAAAAAAUUUACGAUUGCUUUUUGUAUGUGGUGGUGUUGCACCUUGUCAGCUAUGCCAGCUGCUGAACCAGUAGCCUGCAUUCCUGCUAUCAAUGUACCACAAGAGAUCCUGACACUUUUAGAAGGCAACUAUUGCUUACAUGAAGAUCACUAUCCAGUUCAAGUACUGUGAAUGGACCUCAAGCCAUUCUUUUAAGCUUAGGGAUGUGUUCUCUCACCAGUCAACGACAGAGUCUUCAUCUACUUUGAGUUGCUAACCAUCAGCCCUCAGGCCUUAGCAUCCCAGGUAUCCAGAUUUCCAAGUUUCUCUAAUUAGUUAACCAUCAUCCAUACCCUUCAGCUCUUCAUUGUGGCUUCUCUUCCUCUCAUCUCAGUCUGCUGAAUACCAACAUUGAAUAAUGUUCAUCAUCAUUGCCUUUCCAUGAAAAUCUUCAUUUUAAAUCCUGCUGUUCUUCUCACCGUUACUUAGCCAUCUCACAUGGAAAGGGUUUAACAACAUCUCAAUUUUUUGGACUGCAAAUAUUAAUUUUCUUUCGGUACAACACUGCCGUUUUGACAACUUCGGGAGUUUCACCCCCAGUGGACCAAACGCAACUAUAUUUUCUUCGUCUUCCUGUCGUUGUUGUCUACGACUUCACCUCAUCGCUGCCUUCGUUGACGUCUUCGCCUUCAUCUCCGUCUCGUCGUCUUGGUCGUCUUCGCCUUCAUCUCCGUCUCGUCGUCUUGGUCGUCUUCGCCUUCAUCUCCGUCUCGUCGUCUUGGUCGUCUUCGCCUUCAUCUCCGUCUCGUCGUCUUGGUCGUCUUCGCCUUCAUCUCCGUCUCGUCGUCUUGGUCGUCUUCGCCUUCAUCUCCGUCUCGUCGUCUUCGCCGUCUUUGUCUACGCCAUCACCUUGUCCCCGGCUUCUCCUUCAUCCUUUACAAGGGAAUUCACCGUGGAUCGUCGCUCUGGUAUUGUUUUAUUUUGCAUUGUAAUUGUU
Molecule: long non-coding RNA, 1783 nt
Organism: Daphnia magna
Lineage: Eukaryota; Metazoa; Arthropoda; Branchiopoda; Diplostraca; Daphniidae
Exons: 9
Source: RefSeq, a predicted model, not a curated record